Non-coding RNA from Actinoplanes sp. N902-109, 75 nucleotides. It matches the Rfam family "ASpks TB sRNA". Lineage: Bacteria; Bacillati; Actinomycetota; Actinomycetes; Micromonosporales; Micromonosporaceae. The record is from Rfam.
CUUCACCGAGCCCAGCCACAACGGGCGGUCAUCGGCCCGGUCCUGCCCGUACGUCGCCAGCAACGCCUGCGCCUC